GAAAGUGCUUCUAAGUGGAGAUUUUCCACUUAGUUAUAUUACUCACAUUUGGAAGAAGCAUAGCAAUGUCCUAUUCUUUCUCAUUAAUCUUUUUUCAGCUUCUAGGGAUGGUAGUAUAUACUAAUGAACAUGAUUAAUUCCAGUGACUCAUAUCAACAGAAGUUAAAGACAGCCAGUGACUGGAAGAAAGAAAUUCUUAACAAAUAAACACAAAAGGAAAUACAUAUACAACUUAGAAGGACAUAAAGGAUCAAUGUAUUUGCGGAUUUUUAUCUACUGAAGGCUCAUAAUCAAGUCUGGGGGGGGUUUCACA
Molecule: long non-coding RNA, 313 nt
Filed under: Pogona vitticeps (central bearded dragon)
Lineage: Eukaryota; Metazoa; Chordata; Lepidosauria; Squamata; Agamidae
Description: lncRNA (ENSPVIG00000025585.1)
Source: RNAcentral